ACCACCCUUCUUUCUAUUUUUUUCUCCCAAUUUUUUUUUAGAAAAAAAUCAAUCCCUUAUUGAUCACUCACAACCUCUAUGCAUAUUUUAUCAUAUCCAGAACACCCGAUACAAGGAUCAGAGAACUAAGUUAGAAAGUGAACCAAAAUAUAGAUUCAUGUACACAAAGUACCAUGGUGAUCUCAGGUCAAAAGAUCACUUACACAACUCUCACUAG
RNAcentral lists this long non-coding RNA (217 nucleotides) under Elaeis guineensis (African oil palm). RNAcentral's name for it is "long non-coding RNA (EGUI_LNC056163)". The record is from RNAcentral. Lineage: Eukaryota; Viridiplantae; Streptophyta; Magnoliopsida; Arecales; Arecaceae.